Molecule: ribosomal RNA, 1287 nt
Filed under: Candidatus Phytoplasma sacchari
Lineage: Bacteria; Bacillati; Mycoplasmatota; Mollicutes; Acholeplasmatales; Acholeplasmataceae
Description: bacterial SSU rRNA
Rfam family: Bacterial small subunit ribosomal RNA
Source: RNAcentral
AUCUUUUUAUUUUUAAAAGACCUUUUUCGGAAGGUAUGCUUAAAGAGGGGCUUGCGUCACAUUAGUUAGUUGGCAGGGUAAAGGCCUACCAAGACUAUGAUGUGUAGCUGGACUGAGAGGUUGAACAGCCACAUUGGGACUGAGACACGGCCCAAACUCCUACGGGAGGCAGCAGUAGGGAAUUUUCGGCAAUGGAGGAAACUCUGACCGAGCAACGCCGCGUGAACGAUGAAGUAUUUCGGUAUGUAAAGUUCUUUUAUUGAAGAAGAAAAAAUAGUGGAAAAACUAUCUUGACGAUAUUCAAUGAAUAAGCCCCGGCAAACUAUGUGCCAGCAGCCGCGGUAAUACAUAGGGGGCGAGCGUUAUCCGGAAUUAUUGGGCGUAAAGGGUGCGUAGGCGGUUUAAUAAGUCUAUAGUUUAAUUUCAGUGCUUAACACUGUCCUGCUAUAGAAACUAUUAGACUAGAGUGAGAUAGAGGCAAGUGGAAUUCCAUGUGUAGCGGUAAAAUGCGUAAAUAUAUGGAGGAACACCAGAGGCGUAGGCGGCUUGCUGGGUCUUUACUGACGCUGAGGCACGAAAGCGUGGGGAGCAAACAGGAUUAGAUACCCUGGUAGUCCACGCCGUAAACGAUGAGUACUAAGUGUCGGGAUUACUCGGUACUGAAGUUAACACAUUAAGUACUCCGCCUGAGUAGUACGUACGCAAGUAUGAAACUUAAAGGAAUUGACGGGACUCCGCACAAGCGGUGGAUCAUGUUGUUUAAUUCGAAGAUACACGAAAAACCUUACCAGGUCUUGACAUACUCUGCAAAGCUAUAGCAAUAUAGUGGAGGUUAUCAGGGAUACAGGUGGUGCAUGGUUGUCGUCAGCUCGUGUCGUGAGAUGUUAGGUUAAGUCCUAAAACGAGCGCAACCCUUGUCAUUAGUUGCCAGCAUGUUAUGAUGGGCACUUUAAUGAGACUGCCAAUGAAAAAUUGGAGGAAGGUGAGGAUCACGUCAAAUCAUCAUGCCCCUUAUGAUCUGGGCUACAAACGUGAUACAAUGGCUGUUACAAAGAGUAGCUGAAACGUAAGUUUAUAGCCAAUCUCAUAAAAGCAGUCUCAGUUCGGAUUGAAGUCUGCAACUCGACUUCAUGAAGUUGGAAUCGCUAGUAAUCGCGAAUCAGCAUGUCGCGGUGAAUACGUUCUCGGGGUUUGUACACACCGCCCGUCAAACCACGAAAGUUGGUAAUACUCAAAAACGGUAGCCUAACUUCUUCGGAAGAGGGAACCGUCUAAGGUAGGAUCGAU